ACACACACACAGUCUCAUAGAAUGUAUGUCGCGUUUAACGCAAUACAAUACAACUUUCAGCAACGGAUCUCUUGGCUCUCGCAUCGAUGAAGAACGCAGCGAAAUGCGAUAAGUAAUGUGAAUUGCAGAAUUCAGUGAAUCAUCGAAUCUUUGAACGCACCUUGCGCCCUUUGGCUAUUCCGAAGGGCAUGCCUGUUUGAGUAUCAUGAACACCUCAACUCUCAUGGUUUGCCAUGAUGAGCUUGGACUUUGGGGGUCUUGCUGGCCUAUGGGUCGGCUCCUCUCAAAUGAAUCAGCUUGCCAGUGUUUGGUGGCAUCACAGGUGUGAUAACUAUCUACGCUUGUGGUUUUCCAUCAGGUAACCUUCAGUGAUGGAGGUUCGCUGGGGCUCAUAAAUGUCUCUCCUCAGUGAGGACAGCUUUUUGAACGUUUGAUCUCAAAUCAGGUAGGACUACCCGCUGAACUUAAGCAUAUCAAUAAGCGGAGGAAAAGAAACUAACAAGGAUUCCCCUAGUAACUGCGAGUGAAGCGGGAAGAGCUCAAAUUUAAAAUCUGGCGUGCCUCUGGUCGUCCGAGU
This 577-nucleotide ribosomal RNA is filed under the name uncultured Tomentella. RNAcentral's name for it is "eukaryotic LSU rRNA". The stretch from base 52 to 206 matches the Rfam family "5.8S ribosomal RNA". The record is from RNAcentral. Lineage: Eukaryota; Fungi; Basidiomycota; Agaricomycetes; Thelephorales; Thelephoraceae.